CCGAGAAGCUAAACUCGAAAA
RNAcentral lists this small nuclear RNA (21 nucleotides) under Arabidopsis thaliana (thale cress). Its description in RNAcentral is "snRNA_03067". The record is from RNAcentral. Lineage: Eukaryota; Viridiplantae; Streptophyta; Magnoliopsida; Brassicales; Brassicaceae.